RNAcentral lists this ribosomal RNA (460 nucleotides) under uncultured bacterium. RNAcentral's name for it is "partial 16S ribosomal RNA". It matches the Rfam family "Bacterial small subunit ribosomal RNA", at positions 338 to 795 of the family's 1533-position model. The record is from RNAcentral.
CCUACGGGAGGCUGCAGUGAGGAAUAUUGGUCAAUGGACGAGAGUCUGAACCAGCCAAGUAGCGUGAAGGAUGACUGCCCUAUGGGUUGUAAACUUCUUUUAUAUGGGAAUAAAAUGUUCCACGUGUGGGAUUUUGUAUGUACCAUAUGAAUAAGGAUCGGCUAACUCCGUACCAGCAGCCGCGGUAAUACGGAGGAUCCGAGCGUUAUCCGGAUUUAUUGGGUUUAAAGGGAGCGUAGGUGGAUUGUUAAGUCAGUUGUGAAAGUUUGCGGCUCAACCGUAAAAUUGCAGUUGAAACUGGCAGUCUUGAGUACAGUAGAGGUGGGCGGAAUUCGUGGUGUAGCGGUGAAAUGCUUAGAUAUCACGAAGAACUCCGAUUGCGAAGGCAGCUCACUGGACUGCAACUGACACUGAGGCCCGAAAGCGUGGGGAGCAAACAGGAUUAGAUACCCCUGUAGUC